Long non-coding RNA from Brassica napus (rape), 1515 nucleotides. RefSeq lists it as uncharacterized. The transcript is spliced from 8 exons. The record is from RefSeq and is a predicted model, not a curated record. NCBI's taxonomy places the organism in Eukaryota, Viridiplantae, Streptophyta, Magnoliopsida, Brassicales, Brassicaceae.
UGUUUUACGCUACGUCUAUUAUUGAAACCCAAAUUCUCUCCACUUUGUCGUAUCACCUUCAUCAGUCAAUGCUAUUUUUGGCUUUGAUUAGGUUCACCUCCGUAUUCCUUCCCUCUCUCUAAUCUUCUCCAAUAAAAAUCCAUGGAACUCUUCAGCUCCCCCUCUCUUCUCAUUCUAUCGAUAUCUCUGUAAAUAAUUGAUGCCAGGAUCGGGAAUCAAACAUCGCUUACUCGCUUAUUGUGUCUCUCAACCGGCUAAUCUUUAAUUCCACUGUUGAAAAUGUCUGCUUCCGAUGCUAUUUCUGUCCAGACAGAUGUUACCAAGGCCAACUUUGACGAUCUCCACGCUCUUGCAAAUACGAACUUAUAACUCCCCGAUGUUGAACAAAUAUGUUUCAUGUAAGGCUAUGACCUCAACUAGGCGGCAGCAACGAAUCGUUUGUCGUCCGUUUUUUCAUUGAGCUUUUGGUCAUGCUGUAUUUGUCUUUGUGGGAUGGCGCAGCCACAAGUUUUGGGGGAAUUUGUGCUCAGGCUAUACUACCCACUCUGUCAUGGUGGUCAUCACGGUGAAUCCUAAAAUUUUUGGAGGUAUUGGUAGGACAGAAGAGGUCCUCCCACGUGUUGAGAUCUUCACAGUGCCUCUCCAAAGUCCAACGACUAGGCUAGAUCGUCGGUGUCCUCCAGCAAAAUGGUUGGUCGACAGAAGAGGUCUUCUGUCGCUUGCACUGGUUGCAGAAGGAGAUUGGACAAAUCCAAGACUUCACUACAGUGCAAUAGAUGUGUUUCACCAAACGUCACUGGAGUCAUCAGGUUCCAUGUCGAGUAGCCUUUAGAUGAUGGCUACGAAAAUGCUGUAUUUGUGGUGUCUGACACGGAGAUGACCAAACAGACCAAGAAAAAUGCAGCCACAAUGGCUCUUGAGGAGAUGUGGCUCUCAACACACAUUCAGAGGUUGCAAGCAGCAGCAAAGCACCACAGGUGUACGACUAAUCGGAACAACCACCAGCAUCUGGCAACUUCACAUGUGAUGCAUACACGAAAGAAAUGGACGGUGAGGCAGCAAAACCAACCAAGCUUUGGAGACGAUGAGAACACCCGCAAGCGCCUGGAACGUUGACGGGAAUUUGCAUAUUGGGAAAAAGGCUUUGUUUCACUUUGUGCAUGAAUACAUAUUCAGAUAGUAAAACAGCCAUCAACCUCAAUAUGAUAAGAAUCUGAUGCCGUCUUAUUUUUAAAAGGACCACCACAAUUUGACUAACAUAUUCGAGAGGUUUGAUGGCGAGGUAUUCGGAGUACAACAACACACAAGCCCACUUCAUCAAAGAGUUGAAUACUUACAUGCUAAAAAAAUAAAAAUCUUGGUUUCUAUCACUUCUCAAGAAAACAACCCAAAAUAUGUGCUCAUCCUCUUAGUAAAUCUAUUUCUGAAUCUGAAGUUUGGUAAUGUAUUUAAACUAUCUCCUACUCGGUGAAUAGUUACUUUUAUUUUAAAUAAAGAGGAACGUUGACGUGUCUU